AUGUUGCCAAUGGAGUUAAAUGGUCCUCCAUUUGGUCAACCAACAACUUCAACACCUAAUGAGUCGUUAGAGCAAUCUCAUGUGCAAGUGCGCGUAGAAGAUGGUUUUGAUGAUAUAGAGAAGCUCACAUUACUUGGUCUUGAGUUCACUUGGAGUACCGGGGAUGAUCUUAUUAGGAAGGUUAUACUAGAGGAAAUGAAGAAGACCAAGAGUGGAAAAGAGCUAGUGGAAGAAGUAAGGAAGAUUGAGAAGAACAUCAACGCUGGCAGUACUAUAUCAUCACAGCUUGAGUUGAGUGUCGCUGAGAUAUCCAUGGAUACAUGUGAGGUUCUAAUACCUUCACAUUCAGUUGAGCAAGAUAGUGAGAGCCCGGAUGAAGAGAUACCUCAGAUUGAAGAAGAUGAACUAGAAAACGAGGAACAAGAUGACCAAGAGAUCGACUACCCAAGCGAUCAAGUUGAAGACGCAAUCUCUAUCUCCCCCGAAAGAGGAAAAGAAGCUGCUAUAGAUGAACUUGGAGAACCAAAAAUUCAUUUGCCCAUCGUCAUACAAGAGCGUGAUGUUGCAGGUUUUUGCUUGUGCACAAAUCAAUACAUGCUGACCAGGUUCGAGGUGACAUUCCUUGGGACCCCGGUGGAUUCACGGCAUGGUGAUGAGGAGAAGCAAGGAGCACACAUGAAGAGAGAAGCUGGAGAAGGCAUGAGGAUAGGGAAUCAAAAGGAGAGGAGUCACAAUGCAAGAGGAUGUGAGAUGAUCGAGCGAGUGCUACACCCAAGCCCGAUGAGUUGUUUCAUGACCCAUUUCGAGUAUAUCAUCUAUUGA
RNAcentral lists this ribosomal RNA (822 nucleotides) under Triticum aestivum (bread wheat). RNAcentral describes it as "partial small subunit ribosomal RNA". Lineage: Eukaryota; Viridiplantae; Streptophyta; Magnoliopsida; Poales; Poaceae. The record is from RNAcentral.